Molecule: long non-coding RNA, 416 nt
Organism: Belonocnema kinseyi
Lineage: Eukaryota; Metazoa; Arthropoda; Insecta; Hymenoptera; Cynipidae
Exons: 3
Source: RefSeq, a predicted model, not a curated record
AAAAAUGUAUGUGGAGCACAACAAAAGGCGCAAGAGGACCAUGGUUUUAUUCCAAGAAAAUUUCUUCUCUGAGUAUGUCAUAGAUCACACAAACACACCCAGAAUGACUAAUAAUACCAAUUUGAUUAGAAUAUGACAAAAAUUCUAGAAUGGUACAGGUUGCUUUCGUCUUUUAUUCGCGUAUCAAUCAAGGUUGCUGCUUCAAUGUAUGCGGAAAUGUUGGAAACACCCACCAUCUGUUUUUCAACUGUAUAGAAUGUUUUGAUCAGCCGUAGGUGGACAGGUUCAAAACAACGGUGUUGGCGAACCAUUGAAAAUCAAUAAUGUGAGUCCAAUUUUUAUACUUUUUCUCAGUGAAGGAUUCCAUCGUUCAUGUGAGUAUAAAAAUGCAGCGUGCAUUAUAAGAAAAAUUUAAG